This 433-nucleotide ribosomal RNA is filed under the name uncultured bacterium. RNAcentral describes it as "partial 16S ribosomal RNA". It matches the Rfam family "Bacterial small subunit ribosomal RNA", at positions 29 to 507 of the family's 1533-position model. The record is from RNAcentral.
AACGAACGCUGGCGGCAGGCCUAACACAUGCAAGUCGAGCGAAGACUUCGGUCCUAGCGUCCUCCGGGUGAGUAACGCGUGGGAACGUUCCCUUUGCUUCGGACUAGCCCUGGGACACUGGUAGUAAUACCGGAUCGGCCCUUUUGGGGAAAGAUUUAUCGGCCAAGGAUGUGCCCUCGUUGGAUUAGGUAUUUGUUGCGGUAAUGGCCUACCAAGCCGACGAUCCAUAGCUGGUUUGAGAGGAUGAGCAGCCACACUGGGACUGAGAAACGGCCCAGAAUCCUACGGGAGGGAGCAGUGGGGAAUCGUAGAAAAUGGGGGAAACACUGAUGUAGCCAGGCCGCGUGAGCGAUGAAGGCAUUAGGGUAGUAAAGCUCUAUCAGCUGGGAAGAUAAUGACGGUACCAGCAGAAGAAGCCCCGGCUAACUCCGUG